RNAcentral lists this ribosomal RNA (51 nucleotides) under Moniliophthora perniciosa. RNAcentral's name for it is "partial 18S ribosomal RNA". Lineage: Eukaryota; Fungi; Basidiomycota; Agaricomycetes; Agaricales; Marasmiaceae. The record is from RNAcentral.
UAAAAAUGUAACAAGGUUUCCCUGGUAGGUGAACCUGCGGAAGGAUCAUUA